CCUACGGGUGGCAGCAGUGGGGAAUAUUGGACAAUGGGGGAAACCCUGAUCAAGCGACGCCGCGAGAGUGAAGAAGUAUUUCGGUACGUAAAGCUCUAUCAGCAGGAAAGAAAAGGACGGUAACUGACGAAGAAGCCCCGGCUAACAACGUGCCAGGAGCCGGGGGAAGAGGUAGGGGGCAAGCGGUAUCCGGAUUUGAGGGGUGGAAAGGGAGCGGAGACGGCAGCGCAAGGCUGGAGUGAAAUGCCGGGGCCCAACCCCGGAACUGCUCUGGAAACUGUGAAGCUGGAGUGCAGGAGAGGUAAGCGGAAUUCCUGGUGUAGCGGUGUAAUGCGUAGAUAUCAGGAGGAACACCGGCGGCGAAGGCGGCUUACUGGACUGUAACUGACGUUGAGGCUCGAAGGCGUGGGGAGCAAACAGGAUUAGAUACCCGGGUAGUC
RNAcentral lists this ribosomal RNA (440 nucleotides) under uncultured bacterium. RNAcentral describes it as "partial 16S ribosomal RNA". It matches the Rfam family "Bacterial small subunit ribosomal RNA", at positions 338 to 795 of the family's 1533-position model. The record is from RNAcentral.